UGGGGAAUAUUGGACAAUGGGCGAAAGCCUGAUCCAGCAAUGCCGCGUGUGUGAAGAAGGUCUUCGGAUUGUAAAGCACUUUCGACGGGGACGAUGAUGACGGUACCCGUAGAAGAAGCCACGGCUAACUACGUGCUAG
This 139-nucleotide ribosomal RNA is filed under the name uncultured bacterium. RNAcentral describes it as "partial 16S rRNA". It matches the Rfam family "Bacterial small subunit ribosomal RNA", at positions 355 to 511 of the family's 1533-position model. The record is from RNAcentral.